UGGGGAAUUUUGGACAAUGGGCGCAAGCCUGAUCCAGCCAUGCCGCGUGUCUGAAGAAGGCCUUCGGGUUGUAAAGGACUUUUGUCAGGGAAGAAAAGGACAGGGUUAAUACCUCUGUUUGAUGACGGUACCUGAAGAAUAAGCACCGGCUAACUACGUGCCAGCAGCCGCGGUAAUACGUAGGGUGCGAGCGUUAAUCGGAAUUACUGGGCGUAAAGCGAGCGCAGACGGUUACUUAAGCAGGAUGUGAAAUCCCCGGGCUCAACCUGGGAACUGCGUUCUGAACUGGGUGACUAGAGUGUGUCAGAGGGAGGUAGAAUUCCACGUGUAGCAGUGAAAUGCGUAGAGAUGUGGAGGAAUACCGAUGGCGAAGGCAGCCUCCUGGGAUAACACUGACGUUCAUGCUCGAAAGCGUGGGUAGCAAACAGGAUUAGAUACCCUGGUAGUCCACGCCCUAAACGAUGUCAAUUAGCUGUUGGGCAACUUGAUUGCUUAGUAGCGUAGCCGCGUGAAAUUGACCGCCUGGGGAGUACGGUCGCAAGAUUA
RNAcentral lists this ribosomal RNA (546 nucleotides) under uncultured bacterium. RNAcentral describes it as "bacterial SSU rRNA". It matches the Rfam family "Bacterial small subunit ribosomal RNA", at positions 355 to 896 of the family's 1533-position model. The record is from RNAcentral.